AACGAACGCUGGCGGCAUGCCUAACACAUGCAAGUCGAACGAAGUCUUCGGACUUAGUGGCGCACGGGUGCGUAACGCGUGGGAAUCUGCCCUUGGGUACGGAAUAACAGUGAGAAAUUACUGCUAAUACCGUAUGAUGUCGUAAGACCAAAGAUUUAUCGCCCAAGGAUGAGCCCGCGUAGGAUUAGCUAGUUGGUGAGGUGAAGGCUCACCAAGGCGACGAUCCUUAGCUGGUCUGAGAGGAUGAUCAGCCACACUGGGACUGAGACACGGCCCAGACUCCUACGGGAGGCAGCAGUGGGGAAUAUUGGACAAUGGGCGAAAGCCUGAUCCAGCAAUGCCGCGUGAGUGGUGAAGGCCCUAGGGUUGUAAAGCUCUUUUACCCGGGAAGAUAAUGACUGUACCGGGAGAAUAAGCCCCGGCUAACUCCGUGCCAGCAGCCGCAGUAA
This 449-nucleotide ribosomal RNA is filed under the name uncultured bacterium. RNAcentral's name for it is "partial 16S ribosomal RNA". It matches the Rfam family "Bacterial small subunit ribosomal RNA", at positions 29 to 523 of the family's 1533-position model. The record is from RNAcentral.